GAUGAACGCUAGCUACAGGCUUAACACAUGCAAGUCGAGGGGAAACGAUAUUGGAAGCUUGCUUCCGAUAGGCGUCGACCGGCGCACGGGUGAGUAACGCGUAUCCAACCUGCCCAUCACUUGGGGAUAACCUUGCGAAAGUAAGACUAAUACCCAAUGAUAUCCGUCGAAGACAUCUGAAGUGGAUUAAAGAUUCAUCGUUGAUGGAUGGGGAUGCGUCUGAUCAGCUUGUUGGCGGGGUAACGGCCCACCAAGGCGACGAUCAGUAGGGGUUCUGAGAGGAAGGUCCCCCACAUUGGAACUGAGACACGGUCCAAACUCCUACGGGAGGCAGCAGUGAGGAAUAUUGGUCAAUGGACGAGAGUCUGAACCAGCCAAGUAGCGUGCAGGAUGACGGCCCUAUGGGUUGUAAACUGCUUUUAUAAGGGAAUAAAGUGAGUCUCGUGAGACUUUUUGCAUGUACCUUAUGAAUAAGGACCGGCUAAUUCCGUGCCAGCAGCCGCCGUAA
Molecule: ribosomal RNA, 508 nt
Filed under: uncultured bacterium
Lineage: Bacteria
Description: partial 16S ribosomal RNA
Rfam family: Bacterial small subunit ribosomal RNA
Source: RNAcentral